UGGGGAAUAUUGCACAAUGGGCGAAAGCCUGAUGCAGCAACGCCGCGUGAGUGAUGAAGGCCUUCGGGUUGUAAAGCUCUGUCUUCUGGGACGAUAAUGACGGUACCAGAGGAGGAAGCCACGGCUAACUACGUGCCAGCAGCCGCGGUAAUACGUAGGUGGCAAGCGGUGUCCGGAUUUACUGGGCGUAAAGGAUGCGUAGGCGGAUACUUAAGUCAGAUGUGAAAAUCCCGGGCUUAACUUGGGAACUGCAUUUGAAACUGGGUAUCUAGAGUGCGGGAGAGGAGAGUGGAAUUCCUAGUGUAGCGGUGAAAUGCGUAGAGAUUAGGAAGAACACCAGUGGCGAAGGCGACUUUCUGAACUGUAACUGACACUGAGGCAUGAAAGCGUGGGGAGCAAACA
This 402-nucleotide ribosomal RNA is filed under the name uncultured bacterium. RNAcentral's name for it is "bacterial SSU rRNA". It matches the Rfam family "Bacterial small subunit ribosomal RNA", at positions 355 to 774 of the family's 1533-position model. The record is from RNAcentral.